UUCACUUGUUGGUGAGGUAAUGGCUCACCAAGGCGUCGACGGGUAGCCGGCCUGAGAGGGUGACCGGCCACACUGGGACUGAGACACGGCCCAGACUCCUACGGGAGGCAGCAGUGGGGAAUAUUGCACAAUGGGCGGAAGCCUGAUGCAGCAACGCCGCGUGAGGGAUGACGGCCUUCGGGUUGUAAACCUCUUUUAGCAGGGAAGAAGCGAAAGUGACGGUACCUGCAGAAAAAGCGCCGGCUAACUACGUGCCAGCAGCCGCGGUAAUACGUAGGGCGCAAGCGUUAUCCGGAAUUAUUGGGCGUAAAGAGCUCGUAGGCGGUUUGUCGCGUCUGCUGUGAAAUCCCGAGGCUCAACCUCGGGCCUGCAGUGGGUACGGGCAGACUAGAGUGCGGUAGGGGAGAUUGGAAUUCCUGGUGUAGCGGUGGAAUGCGCAGAUAUCAGGAGGAACACCGAUGGCGAAGGCAGAUCUCUGGGCCGUAACUGACGCUGAGGAGCGAAAGGGUGGGGAGCAAACAGGCUUAGAUACCCUGGUAGUCCACCCCGUAAACGUUGGGAACUAGUUGUGGGGUCCAUUCCACG
Molecule: ribosomal RNA, 585 nt
Filed under: uncultured Microbacterium sp.
Lineage: Bacteria; Bacillati; Actinomycetota; Actinomycetes; Micrococcales; Microbacteriaceae
Description: bacterial SSU rRNA
Rfam family: Bacterial small subunit ribosomal RNA
Source: RNAcentral